UGGCUCUCGCAUCGAUGAAGAACGCAGCGAAAUGCGAUAAGUAAUGUGAAUUGCAGAUUUUCAGUGAAUCAUCGAAUCUUUGAACGCACCUUGCGCCCCUUGGUAUUCCGAGGGGCAUGCCUGUUUGAGUGUCAUUAAAUCCUCAACCCCUCCGAUUCGUUUCGGUGGGGAUUGGACUUGGAGCGUGCUGGCGAAGGUCGGCUCCUCUUUAAAUGCAUCAGCGGAGAAAAUGCCUUUUGCGCCUCUGGCCGUUCAGCGUGAUAAUGAUGUUGCGCUGCGGUCGAGCUUAAGGUCCGCUUCCAAAGGUCCUCGGACAAAUAUACAUAUGACUUUUGACCUCAAAUCAGGUAGGACUACCCGCUGA
This 364-nucleotide unclassified non-coding RNA is filed under the name uncultured fungus. Its description in RNAcentral is "partial contains 5.8S ribosomal RNA and internal transcribed spacer 2". The stretch from base 1 to 134 matches the Rfam family "5.8S ribosomal RNA", at positions 22 to 154 of the family's 154-position model. Lineage: Eukaryota; Fungi. The record is from RNAcentral.